This is a non-coding RNA of Dallia pectoralis (Alaska blackfish), 76 nucleotides long. The record is from the annotation of a GenBank genome assembly. NCBI's taxonomy places the organism in Eukaryota, Metazoa, Chordata, Actinopteri, Esociformes, Umbridae.
GCUGUGAUGGCCGAGUGGUUAAGGCUUUGAAAUCCAAUGGGGUUUCUCCGCGUAGGUUAGAACCCUGCUCUCAGCG